GACGAACGCUGGCGGCGUGCCUAACACAUGCAAGUCGAACGGAAAGGCCCUGCUUUUGUGGGUUGCUCGAGUGGCGAGCGUGUGAGUAACACGUGUGUAACCUGCCCUUUACUUUGGGAUAACUUCAGGAAACUGGGGCUAAUACCGGAUAGAAGCUCCUGCUGCAUGGUGGGGGUUGGAAAGUUUCGGCGGUUGGGGAUGGACUCGCGGCUUAUCAGCGUGUUGGUGGGGUAGUGGCUUACCAAGGCUUUGACGGGUAGCCGGCCUGGGAGGGUGACCGGCCACAGUGGGACUGAGAUACGGCCCAGACUGCUACGGGAGGCAGCAGUGGGGAAUAUUGCACAAUGGGCGGAAGCAUGAUGCAGCAACGCCGCGUGCGGGAUGACGGCCUUCGGGUUGUAAACCGCGUUCGCCUGUGACGAAGCGUGAGUGACGGUAAUGGGUAAAGAAGCACCGGCUAACUACGUG
This 468-nucleotide ribosomal RNA is filed under the name uncultured bacterium. RNAcentral describes it as "partial 16S ribosomal RNA". It matches the Rfam family "Bacterial small subunit ribosomal RNA", at positions 28 to 507 of the family's 1533-position model. The record is from RNAcentral.